This 433-nucleotide ribosomal RNA is filed under the name uncultured bacterium. RNAcentral describes it as "partial 16S ribosomal RNA". It matches the Rfam family "Bacterial small subunit ribosomal RNA", at positions 29 to 507 of the family's 1533-position model. The record is from RNAcentral.
AACGAACGCUGGCGGCAUGCCUAACACAUGCAAGUCGAACGAGACCUUCGGGUCUAGUGGCGCACGGGUGCGUAACGCGUGGGAACCUGCCCUUAGGUUCAGAAUAACUCCCCGAAAGGGGUGCUAAUACCGGAUAAUGUCGUCGGACCAAAGAUUUAUCGCCUUUGGAUGGGCCCGCGUUGGAUUAGCUAGUUGGUAGGGUAAAAGCCUACCAAGGCGACGAUCCAUAGCUGGUCUGAGAGGAUGAUCAGCCACACUGGGACUGAGACACGGCCCAGACUCCUACGGGAGGCAGCAGUGGGGAAUAUUGGACAGUGGGCGAGAGCCUGAUCCAGCAAUGCCGCGUGAGUGAUGCAGGCCUUAGGGUUGUAAAGCUCUUUUACCCGGGAUGAUAAUGACAGUACCGGGAGAAUAAGCUCCGGCUAACUCCGUG